Molecule: ribosomal RNA, 429 nt
Filed under: Bacteroidota bacterium
Lineage: Bacteria; Pseudomonadati; Bacteroidota
Description: Bacteroidetes bacterium partial 16S ribosomal RNA
Rfam family: Bacterial small subunit ribosomal RNA
Source: RNAcentral
UAGGGAAUCUUCCGCAAUGGACGCAAGUCUGACGGAGCAACGCCGCGUGAGUGAAGAAGGAUUUCGGUUCGUAAAACUCUGUUGUUAGAGAAGAACAGCGCAUAGAGUAACUGUUAUGCGUGUGACGGUAUCUAACCAGAAAGCCACGGCUAACUACGUGCCAGCAGCCGCGGUAAUACGUAGGUGGCAAGCGUUGUCCGGAUUUAUUGGGCGUAAAGCGAGCGCAGGCGGUCAAAUAAGUCUGAUGUGAAAGCCCCCGGCUCAACCGGGGAAGGUCAUUGGAAACUGGUUGACUUGAGUGCAGAAGAGGAGAGUGGAAUUCCAUGUGUAGCGGUGAAAUGCGUAGAUAUAUGGGGGAACACCAGUGGCGAAGGCGACUCUCUGGUCUGUAACUGACGCUGAGGCUCGAAAGCGUGGGUAGCAAACAGG